AACGGGGCGUUGCUAUACAUGCAGUCGAACGCGUUGGCCCAAUUGAUUGAUGGUGCUUGCACCUGAUUGAUUUUGGUCGCCAACGAGUGGCGGACGGGUGAGUAACACGUAGGUAACCUGCCCAGAAGCGGGGGACAACAUUUGGAAACAGAUGCUAAUACCGCAUAACAACGUUGUUCGCAUGAACAACGCUUAAAAGAUGGCUUCUCGCUAUCACUUCUGGAUGGACCUGCGGUGCAUUAGCUUGUUGGUGGGGUAACGGCCUACCAAGGCGAUGAUGCAUAGCCGAGUUGAGAGACUGAUCGGCCACAAUGGGACUGAGACACGGCCCAUACUCCUACGGGAGGCAGCAGUAGGGAAUCUUCCACAAUGGGCGCAAGCCUGAUGGAGCAACACCGCGUGAGUGAAGAAGGGUUUCGGCUCGUAAAGCUCUGUUGUUAAAGAAGAACACGUAUGAGAGUAACUGUUCAUACGUUGACGGUAUUUAACCAGAAAGUCACGGCUAACUACGUGCCAGCAGCCGCGGUAAUACGUAGGUGGCAAGCGUUAUCCGGAUUUAUUGGGCGUAAAGAGAGUGCAGGCGGUUUUCUAAGUCUGAUGUGAAAGCCUUCGGCUUAACCGGAGAAGUGCAUCGGAAACUGGAUAACUUGAGUGCAGAAGAGGGUAGUGGAACUCCAUGUGUAGCGGUGGAAUGCGUAGAUAUAUGGAAGAACACCAGUGGCGAAGGCGGCUACCUGGUCUGCAACUGACGCUGAGACUCGAAAGCAUGGGUAGCGAACAGGAUUAGAUACCCUGGUAGUCCAUGCCGUAAACGAUGAGUGCUAUGUGUUGGAGGGUUUCCGCCCUUCAGUGCCGGAGCUAACGCAUUAAGCACUCCGCCUGGGGAGUACGACCGCAAGUUGAAACUCAAAGGAUUUGACGGGGCCCGCACAAGCGGUGGAGCAUGUGGUUUAAUUCGAAGCUACGCGAAGAACCUUACCAUGUCUUGACAUCUUGCG
Molecule: ribosomal RNA, 998 nt
Filed under: Limosilactobacillus sp.
Lineage: Bacteria; Bacillati; Bacillota; Bacilli; Lactobacillales; Lactobacillaceae
Description: bacterial SSU rRNA
Rfam family: Bacterial small subunit ribosomal RNA
Source: RNAcentral